Molecule: ribosomal RNA, 253 nt
Filed under: uncultured bacterium
Lineage: Bacteria
Description: partial 16S ribosomal RNA
Rfam family: Bacterial small subunit ribosomal RNA
Source: RNAcentral
UACGAAGGGGGCUAGCGUUGUUCGGAAUCACUGGGCGUAAAGGGCGCGUAGGCGGCUUUAUAAGUCGGGGGUGAAAGCCUGUGGCUCAACCACAGAAUUGCCUUCGAUACUGUAGAGCUUGAGACCGGAAGAGGUAAGUGGAACUGCGAGUGUAGAGGUGAAAUUCGUAGAUAUUCGCAAGAACACCAGUGGCGAAGGCGGCUUACUGGUCCGGUUCUGACGCUGAGGAGCGAAAGCGUGGGGAGUGAACAGG